UCACGAAAAAGGCAAACCUCUCGAAAGGGGGGGACGCAAAGCCAUGGGUCUAAGGUCGCGCAAACUGCGGCUAUGAUCGCCGGGUUACCGAA
This 92-nucleotide non-coding RNA is filed under the name Paenibacillus sp. yr247. Its description in RNAcentral is "c-di-GMP-I riboswitch aptamer". It matches the Rfam family "c-di-GMP-I riboswitch aptamer". Rfam says of the family: GEMM was predicted in a large-scale screen for bacterial structured RNA regulatory elements. Genes associated with GEMM are involved in a diverse array of functions, including chemotaxis regulation, signal transduction, secretion and chitin. Lineage: Bacteria; Bacillati; Bacillota; Bacilli; Caryophanales; Paenibacillaceae. The record is from Rfam by way of RNAcentral.